Molecule: long non-coding RNA, 365 nt
Filed under: Homo sapiens (human)
Lineage: Eukaryota; Metazoa; Chordata; Mammalia; Primates; Hominidae
Description: non-protein coding lnc-KMT2E-4:2
Source: RNAcentral
ACCACAGCCCCUGAAUUCGCCUGCAUCUACUCCACCCUCAUUCUUCACUAUGAACGAGGUGACCGUCACAGAGGAUAAAUCAAGGCCCUAAUUAAAGUAGGUGGUGUAAAUGUUGAACCUUUUCGGCCUGGUUUGUUGGCAAAGGCCCUGGCCUAUGGUGACAUCGAGAGACUCAUCCUAAUGUAGGGGUUGGUGGACCUGCUCCAGCAGCUGCUGCUGCAUCAACAGUAGGUCCUGCCCUGUCCAGAGCAGCUGCUCCAGCUGAGGAGAAGGAAGUGUAAGCAAAGAAAAAAGAAUCAAAGAAAAAGAUAAAGAAAAGGAAAAACAAAGAAGAAUCUGAGGAGUGUGAUGAUGGCAUGGGCUUU